This 306-nucleotide ribosomal RNA is filed under the name Klebsiella pneumoniae. RNAcentral describes it as "bacterial LSU rRNA". It matches the Rfam family "Bacterial large subunit ribosomal RNA", at positions 2415 to 2720 of the family's 2925-position model. The record is from RNAcentral. Lineage: Bacteria; Pseudomonadati; Pseudomonadota; Gammaproteobacteria; Enterobacterales; Enterobacteriaceae.
GUGAUCCGGUGGUUCUGAAUGGAAGGGCCAUCGCUCAACGGAUAAAAGGUACUCCGGGGAUAACAGGCUGAUACCGCCCAAGAGUUCAUAUCGACGGCGGUGUUUGGCACCUCGAUGUCGGCUCAUCACAUCCUGGGGCUGAAGUAGGUCCCAAGGGUAUGGCUGUUCGCCAUUUAAAGUGGUACGCGAGCUGGGUUUAGAACGUCGUGAGACAGUUCGGUCCCUAUCUGCCGUGGGCGUGGAGAAUUGAGGGGGGGCUGCUCCUAGUACGAGAGGACCGGAGUGGACGCAUCACUGGUGUUCGGG